This 63-nucleotide transfer RNA is filed under the name Cavia porcellus (domestic guinea pig). It matches the Rfam family "tRNA". From Rfam's summary of the family: Transfer RNA (tRNA) molecules are approximately 80 nucleotides in length. The record is from Rfam by way of RNAcentral. Lineage: Eukaryota; Metazoa; Chordata; Mammalia; Rodentia; Caviidae.
GGGGAUGGGGCUUAGUGGCAUAGCACCUGCCUGAUAAGCAUGAGGCUCUCAGUUUCAUUCCUA